AGAUACCCUACUAUGCCUAAGCCAUAAACACCUCAUCCGCCAGAAGACAACGAGCAAAGCUUAAAACUCAAAGGACUUGGCGGCACCCCAUACCACCCUAGAGGGGCCUGUCAUAUAAUCGAUAACCCACGAUAAACCCAACCCCCCUUAGCCGACUCAGCCUAUAUACCGCCGUCGCCAGCCCAUCUUAAAAAGAAGCGCAAUGGACAAAAUAGUCUUGCACUAACACGACAGGUCAAGGUGUAGCCCAUGGGGGGGGAACUGAUGGACCACAUUGCUGUCAAAAGCCAAACCAAAAUUACACUGAAAACAUAAUUUAAGGUGAAUUUAGCAGUAAAAAGAACAAGAAAAUUUAUCUGAAAAAUGCCCUGGAGUGUGCACACACCGCCCGGCAC
This 395-nucleotide ribosomal RNA is filed under the name Rieppeleon brevicaudatus (bearded pygmy chameleon). RNAcentral describes it as "12S ribosomal RNA". It matches the Rfam family "Bacterial small subunit ribosomal RNA", at positions 780 to 1400 of the family's 1533-position model. Lineage: Eukaryota; Metazoa; Chordata; Lepidosauria; Squamata; Chamaeleonidae. The record is from RNAcentral.